UGACCUCGGAUCAGGUAGGAAUACCCGCUGAACUUAAGCAUAUCAUAGCCGGGAAAGAAAAACAUUAUCGAGUUACCGCUCUUAUAACCCUUUGUGAACAUACCCCAAACGUUGCCCGGCGGGCAGCCGGAGCCCAGCUCCGUGCGGGAGCCCUCUCUGCGCGCCCACCGCCGGCGGACACCAAACUCUAUGUAAACGACCUCUCUCUGAGAUGGCACAAGACAAAUAAUCAAAACUUUUUAACAACGACUAUUGGGUUCUGCAUCGAUAAUAACGCAGCGGAUGCGGUGAGUUAAUGUGAAUUGCUAGAAAUCAUGAAAUCACCAACCUUGGAACGCCAUAGAGCCGCGCACUGGCGGGAUGACUGUUCGCGGUCUAUCCUCAGCACGCUGGCGUUGAGCUACUGCUUCGUAAGCCAAUACA
This 423-nucleotide ribosomal RNA is filed under the name Colletotrichum gloeosporioides. RNAcentral describes it as "partial 28S ribosomal RNA". Lineage: Eukaryota; Fungi; Ascomycota; Sordariomycetes; Glomerellales; Glomerellaceae. The record is from RNAcentral.